This 506-nucleotide ribosomal RNA is filed under the name uncultured bacterium. RNAcentral describes it as "bacterial SSU rRNA". It matches the Rfam family "Bacterial small subunit ribosomal RNA", at positions 355 to 874 of the family's 1533-position model. The record is from RNAcentral.
UGGGGAAUAUUGCGCAAUGGGGGAAACCCUGACGCAGCCAUGCCGCGUGAGUGAAGAAGGUCUUCGGAUCGUAAAGCUCUUUCAACGGUGAAGAUGAUGACGGUAGCCGUAGAAGAAGCCCCGGCUAACUUCGUGCCAGCAGCCGCGGUAAUACGAAGGGGGCAAGCGUUGUUCGGAAUUACUGGGCGUAAAGGGCGUGUAGGCGGUCUAAUCAGUCAGUGGUGAAAGCCCUGGGCUCAACCCAGGAAUUGCCUUUGAUACUGUUAGACUAGAGUUCGGGGAGAGGAUAGUGGAAUUCCCCAGUGUAGAGGUGAAAUUCGUAGAUAUUGGGAAGAACACCAGUGGCGAAGGCGGCUAUCUGGACCGAUACUGACGCUGAGGCGCGAAAGCGUGGGGAGCAAACAGGAUUAGAUACCCUGGUAGUCCACGCCGUAAACGAUGUCUGCUAGUCGUUGGGGGGCCGUAGCCCUUCAGUGGACGCCGCUAACGCAUUAAGCAGACCGCCU